UAAAUUUUAGCUUAAGCAUAGAGCAUCUGAUUGUUAAUUAGAGGGUAUAAAUAAAUAUAUAAAUUUAG
RNAcentral lists this transfer RNA (68 nucleotides) under Panopea generosa. Its description in RNAcentral is "tRNA-Asn". It matches the Rfam family "tRNA". Rfam says of the family: Transfer RNA (tRNA) molecules are approximately 80 nucleotides in length. Their secondary structure includes four short double-helical elements and three loops (D, anti-codon, and T loops). Lineage: Eukaryota; Metazoa; Mollusca; Bivalvia; Adapedonta; Hiatellidae. The record is from RNAcentral.